GACCCCUAAGGCGAGGCCGAAAGGCGUAGUCGAUGGGAAACGGGUUAAUAUUCCCGUACUUGGUGUUACUGCGAAGGGGGGACGGAGAAGGCUAUGUUGGCCGGGCGACGGUUGUCCCGGUUUAAGCGUGUAGGUGUGUGUUCCAGGUAAAUCCGGUUCACUUUAACACUGAGGCGUGACGACGAGGCACUACGGUGCUGAAGCAACAAAUGCCCUGCUUCCAGGAAAAGCCUCUAAGCAUCAGGUAACAUCAAAUCGUACCCCAAACCGACACAGGUGGUCAGGUAGAGAAUACCAAGGCGCUUGAGAGAACUCGGGUGAAGGAACUAGGCAAAAUGGUGCCGUAACUUCGGGAGAAGGCACGCUGACAC
This 371-nucleotide ribosomal RNA is filed under the name Salmonella enterica subsp. enterica serovar Virchow. Its description in RNAcentral is "partial 23S ribosomal RNA". It matches the Rfam family "Bacterial large subunit ribosomal RNA", at positions 1386 to 1757 of the family's 2925-position model. Lineage: Bacteria; Pseudomonadati; Pseudomonadota; Gammaproteobacteria; Enterobacterales; Enterobacteriaceae. The record is from RNAcentral.